Molecule: ribosomal RNA, 974 nt
Filed under: Ascomycota sp. P30071PD1CC1125
Lineage: Eukaryota; Fungi; Ascomycota
Description: eukaryotic LSU rRNA
Rfam family: Eukaryotic large subunit ribosomal RNA (bases 401-974)
Source: RNAcentral
GCCGGGGGAAAACCAAACCAUUUGAAUCUAUGUGGAUUAUCUGAGUGGCGAAAGCACAAAUACAAUCAAAACUUUCAACAACGGAUCUCUUGGCUCUGGCAUCGAUGAAGAACGCAGCGAAAUGCGAUAAGUAAUGUGAAUUGCAGAAUUCAGUGAAUCAUCGAAUCUUUGAACGCACAUUGCGCCCGCCAGUACUCUGGCGGGCAUGCCUGUUCGAGCGUCAUUUCAACCCCUCAAGCCCUGGGCUUGGUGUUGGGGAUCGACCACCACCCCCCGCUUACGGGGGGCGGUCGGCCCUGAAAUACAGUGGCGGACCCGCCGCGGCCCCCUCUGCGUAGUAGCACACCUCGCACUGGAGAGCGGCGCGGCCCACGCCUUAACCACUAUUUUUUCCACAGGUUGACCUCGAAUCAGGUAGGAAUACCCGCUGAACUUAAGCAUAUCAAUAAGCGGAGGAAAAGAAACCAACAGGGAUUGCCCCAGUAACGGCGAGUGAAGCGGCAACAGCUCAAAUUUGAAAUCUGGCCCUAGGCCCGAGUUGUAAUUUGCAGAGGAUGCUUUUGGCGCGGUGCCUUCCAAGUUCCCUGGAACGGGACGCCACAGAGGGUGAGAGCCCCGUCAGGUCGUGCAACCAAGCCUUUGUAAAGCUCCUUCGACGAGUCGAGUAGUUUGGGAAUGCUGCUCUAAAUGGGAGGUAUAUGUCUUCUAAAGCUAAAUACCGGCCAGAGACCGAUAGCGCACAAGUAGAGUGAUCGAAAGAUGAAAAGCACUUUGAAAAGAGAGUUAAAAAGCACGUGAAAUUGUUGAAAGGGAAGCGUUCAUGACCAGACUUGGGCCCGGUUGAUCAUCCAGCGUUCUCGCUGGUGCACUCUGCCGGCCCAGGCCAGCAUCAGUUCGCCUCGGGGGACAAAGGUUCAGGGAAUGUGGCUCCUCUCGGGGAGUGUUAUAGCCCAGUUCAAAUGCCCUGGGGCGGA